This 902-nucleotide unclassified non-coding RNA is filed under the name Hevea brasiliensis (rubber tree). Lineage: Eukaryota; Viridiplantae; Streptophyta; Magnoliopsida; Malpighiales; Euphorbiaceae. The record is from RNAcentral.
AGGGGUCUUAGCGUUUGCAAACUAGCUAAAAAUGAAAGCUUUACUCCCUUCCUCUUCGCAGAUUCCUCCAUGGCUAAUCCUCUAUUGCAGACGCCAUUUAUGCAUUUCUUCAACCUCAUCUUCACUAACAAUCCAACAACCAAAAACUCCUCCGCCUCCACCUCCAGACUCAACUACCAAUUCUCUUGAUACUGACCAUUCUUGUGGCAGACCCAAUUCGGAAGAUGUUAAGUUCACCAAGAAUCAUGUCGUUGAUGUUCUUCUCAGUCACAGAGAUGACCCUGACUCAGCUUAUAGGUACUUCCAAACUGCUAGACUCCAAAGGGGUUUUCUACAUUCUAAAUCUGACCCUUUCUUUGUUCUGCUUCACAUAUUAGUGAAUUCUGCAAUGCAUCAACAUAAAUCUCGACGUUUGCUUGAUUAUUACGCUUCUAGUGACUCCGGUCCGUCUGCUACUGUUGUUUUUAAUGGUCUAGUGAAGUGUGGUAAGACUUUUGAUUUUGGGUUAAAUCCCAAGAUUUUCAAUUUCUUGGUAAGUAGUUGUAUGAAAGCUAAUCGAUUGAAUGAUGCUAUUGAUUGUUUCAAUGCGAUGUUGGAACAUGAUAUAAUGUUGUGGAUACCAAUCAUGAACAGCCUUUUAAAGAAAUUGGUGAGGCAGGGCAUGGUUGGAGUAGCGGAAGAUUUGUAUACUGAUAUAGUGUCGAGAGGAACUCAUUAUGAUUGUGGGACUGUUCAUAUUUUGAUGGAGGCUUGUCUCAGAGAAGGGAAAAUGAAGGAGGCUGUGAAGCUUUUAGAGGAGACUAAGAUGAGUGGAAUUAAGUUUGAUGCAGGAUUAUAUAGCUGUGGGGUUUAUGUUGCUUGUAAGGAGCAGAAUCUAAGUUUAGCGUUGAAGUUGUUGGAGG